GGCUUAGAAGCAGCCAUCAUUGAAAGAGUGCGUAAUAGCUCACUAGUCGAGUGGCCCUGCGCCGAAAAUUUACCGGGGCUAAACAAGGUGCCGAAGCCACGGAUGAGACGACGUCUUAUGGUAGGAGAGCGUUCUAAUGGCUUGGAAGCCUGACCGUGAGGACAGGUGGAGCGAUUAGAAGUGAGAAUGCCGGUAUGAGUAGCGAAACACGGGUGAGAAUCCCGUGCACCGAAUGACUAAGGGUUCCUGGGGAAGACUCGUCCUCCCAGGGUUAGUCGGGACCUAAGCUGAGGCCUAAAGGCGUAAGCGAUGGUCAACAGGUAGAGAUUCCUGUACCCGUCUUCUUUGUCUGACCGAUGGAGGGACGCAGGAGGCUACGAUGUGCACACUGUUGGAUAUGUGUGUUCAAGCAGCGAGUCUAGACAAGAGUCAAAUGCUUUUGUCUGUACAGACGAGUUGUGAUGAGGAGGGAAAUCAAGUACCGAAGCAUCCGAUGUCACACUGCCGAGAAAAGCUUCUAGGAAGAAGAAGACGGCCCGUACCGCAAACCGACACAGGUAGUCGAGGAGAGCAUCCUAAGGUGAUCGAGCGAACUCUCGUUAAGGAACACGGCAAAAUGACCCCGUAACCUAGGGAGAAGGGGUGCUGACCACAUGGUCAGCCGCAGUGAAUAGGCCCAGGCGACUGUUUACCAAAAACACAGGUCUCUGCUAAUUCGAAAGAAGAUGUAUAGGGGCUGACACCUGCCCGGUGCUGGAAGGUUAAGAGGACGAGUUAGCCGUAAGGCGAAGCUCUGAAUUGAAGCCCCAGUAAACGGCGGC
RNAcentral lists this ribosomal RNA (821 nucleotides) under Salmonella enterica subsp. enterica. RNAcentral describes it as "bacterial LSU rRNA". It matches the Rfam family "Bacterial large subunit ribosomal RNA", at positions 1103 to 1934 of the family's 2925-position model. The record is from RNAcentral. Lineage: Bacteria; Pseudomonadati; Pseudomonadota; Gammaproteobacteria; Enterobacterales; Enterobacteriaceae.